RNAcentral lists this transfer RNA (65 nucleotides) under Lednia tumana. RNAcentral describes it as "tRNA-Gly". The record is from RNAcentral. Lineage: Eukaryota; Metazoa; Arthropoda; Insecta; Plecoptera; Nemouridae.
UUUAUUUAGUAUAAAAGUAUAUUUGACUUCCAAUCAGAAGGUCUAAACGCAGUUUAGAAUAAAUA